Long non-coding RNA from Aricia agestis (brown argus), 296 nucleotides. RefSeq lists it as uncharacterized. The transcript is spliced from 4 exons. The record is from RefSeq and is a predicted model, not a curated record. Lineage: Eukaryota; Metazoa; Arthropoda; Insecta; Lepidoptera; Lycaenidae.
CAAAACAGCCGUUUAUAAAUCUAAGCGCGUGUUCAGACCAAACUGACUAUACGCCGCCGAAUGUGAGCAGGGCGCAGGCUCACUGUGAGCCCCAGUGUGAACGUGAAAAUCAUACGGAAUAUUAUGCGGUAUCGAAUGUCCGCGCCUACGCCUAGCGUAAUGGCGUAUUGUCGGUUAGGUGUGAACGAAAAAGUGAAUACGUAUAGAAAUACAAUAACCUGCGUAGCGUUCGCUCACAUUCGGUGGCUCACAGUCGGUUUGGUGUGAACACGGCCUAAGAGGGGACGCACGGCGCC